AACGAACGCUGGCGGCAUGCCUAACACAUGCAAGUCGAAUGAGACCUUCGGGUCUAGUGGCGCACGGGUGCGUAACGCGUGGGAACCUGCCCUUAGGUUCGGAAUAACUCCCCGAAAGGGGUGCUAAUACCGGAUAAUGUCUUCGGACCAAAGAUUUAUCGCCUUUGGAUGGGCCCGCGUUGGAUUAGCUAGUUGGUAGGGUAAAAGCCUACCAAGGCGACGAUCCAUAGCUGGUCUGAGAGGAUGAUCAGCCACACUGGGACUGAGACACGGCCCAGACUCCUACGGGAGGCAGCAGUGGGGAAUAUUGGACAAUGGGCGAAAGCCUGAUCCAGCAAUGCCGCGUGAGUGAUGAAGGCCUUAGGGUUGUAAAGCUCUUUUACCCGGGAUGACAAUGACAGUACCGGGAGAAUAAGCUCCGGCUAACUCCGUG
This 433-nucleotide ribosomal RNA is filed under the name uncultured bacterium. RNAcentral's name for it is "partial 16S ribosomal RNA". It matches the Rfam family "Bacterial small subunit ribosomal RNA", at positions 29 to 507 of the family's 1533-position model. The record is from RNAcentral.